This 67-nucleotide transfer RNA is filed under the name Henosepilachna pusillanima. RNAcentral's name for it is "tRNA-Gln". The record is from RNAcentral. Lineage: Eukaryota; Metazoa; Arthropoda; Insecta; Coleoptera; Coccinellidae.
UAUAUUCAAGUAUAUUUGUACAAAAGUUUUUGAAACUUUAGGAAAUAAUUAAAUUUAUUGAAUAUAU